This 403-nucleotide ribosomal RNA is filed under the name bacterium. RNAcentral's name for it is "partial 16S ribosomal RNA". It matches the Rfam family "Bacterial small subunit ribosomal RNA", at positions 355 to 776 of the family's 1533-position model. The record is from RNAcentral.
UGGGGAAUAUUGCACAAUGGGGGAAACCCUGAUGCAGCGACGCCGCGUGAACGAAGAAGGUAUUCGUAUCGUAAAGUUCUGUCCUAUGGGAAGAUAAUAACAGUACCAUAGAAGAAAGCUCCGGCUAAAUACGUGCCAGCAGCCGCGGUAAUACGUAUGGAGCGAGCGUUGUCCGGAAUUAUUGGGCGUAAAGGGUACGCAGGCGGUUUAAUAAGUCGAAUGUUAAAGAUCGGGGCUCAACCCCGUAAAGCAUUGGAAACUGAUAAACUUGAGUAGUGGAGAGGAAGGUGGAAUUCCUAGUGUAGUGGUGAAAUACGUAGAUAUUAGGAGGAAUACCAGUAGCGAAGGCGACUUUCUGGACACAAACUGACGCUGAGGUACGAAAGCGUGGGGAGCAAACAGG